Molecule: ribosomal RNA, 650 nt
Filed under: uncultured bacterium
Lineage: Bacteria
Description: bacterial SSU rRNA
Rfam family: Bacterial small subunit ribosomal RNA
Source: RNAcentral
AGGCAGCAGUGGGGAAUAUUGCACAAUGGGCGCAAGCCUGAUGCAGCAACGCCGCGUGAGGGACGAAGGCCUUCGGGUUGUAAACCUCUUUUAGUAGGGAAGAAGCGAAAGUGACGGUACCUGCAGAAAAAGCACCGGCUAACUACGUGCCAGCAGCCGCGGUAAUACGUAGGGUGCAAGCGUUAUCCGGAAUUAUUGGGCGUAAAGAGCUCGUAGGCGGUUUGUCGCGUCUGCUGUGAAAACUGGAGGCUCAACCUCCAGCCUGCAGUGGGUACGGGCAGACUAGAGUGCGGUAGGGGAGAUUGGAAUUCCUGGUGUAGCGGUGGAAUGCGCAGAUAUCAGGAGGAACACCGAUGGCGAAGGCAGAUCUCUGGGCCGUAACUGACGCUGAGGAGCGAAAGCAUGGGGAGCGAACAGGAUUAGAUACCCUGGUAGUCCAUGCCGUAAACGUUGGGAACUAGAUGUAGGGACCAUUCCACGGUUUCUGUGUCGCAGCUAACGCAUUAAGUUCCCCGCCUGGGGAGUACGGCCGCAAGGCUAAAACUCAAAGGAAUUGACGGGGGCCCGCACAAGCGGCGGAGCAUGCGGAUUAAUUCGAUGCAACGCGAAGAACCUUACCAAGGCUUGACAUAUACGAGAACGGGCCAGAA